RNAcentral lists this transfer RNA (87 nucleotides) under Desulforamulus aquiferis. Its description in RNAcentral is "Desulfotomaculum aquiferis tRNA-Leu". It matches the Rfam family "tRNA". Rfam says of the family: Transfer RNA (tRNA) molecules are approximately 80 nucleotides in length. Their secondary structure includes four short double-helical elements and three loops (D, anti-codon, and T loops). The record is from RNAcentral. Lineage: Bacteria; Bacillati; Bacillota; Clostridia; Eubacteriales; Peptococcaceae. RNAcentral also lists the same sequence under 1 other name.
GCCGAAGUGGCGGAACUGGCAGACGCACCGGACUCAAAAUCCGGCUCCCUUAAAAGAGUGUGGGUUCGACUCCCACCUUCGGCACCA